GUGAUCUAGCCAUGGGCAGGUUGAAGGUUGAGUAACAUCAACUGGAGGACCGAACCGACUAAUGUUGAAAAAUUAGCGGAUGACUUGUGGCUAGGGGUGAAAGGCCAAUCAAACUCGGAGAUAGCUGGUUCUCCCCGAAAGCUAUUUAGGUAGCGCCUCGGACGAAUACUACUGGGGGUAGAGCACUGUUAAGGCUAGGGGGUCAUCCCGACUUACCAACCCUUUGCAAACUCCGAAUACCAGUAAGUACUAUCCGGGAGACACACGGCGGGUGCUAACGUCCGUCGUGGAGAGGGAAACAACCCAGACCGCCAGCUAAGGUCCCAAAGUAUUGCUAAGUGGGAAACGAUGUGGGAAGGCUCAGACAGCUAGGAUGUUGGCUUAGAAGCAGCCAUCAUUUAAAGAAAGCGUAAUAGCUCACUAGUCGAGUCGGCCUGCGCGGAAGAUGUAACGGGGCUAAGCAAUACACCGAAGCUGCGGCAAUAUCUUUUAGAUAUUGGGUAGGGGAGCGUUCUGUAAGCCGUUGAAGGUGAAUCGUAAGGUUUGCUGGAGGUAUCAGAAGUGCGAAUGCUGACAUGAGUAACGACAAAGGGGGUGAAAAACCUCCUCGCCGGAAGACCAAGGGUUCCUGUCCAACGUUAAUCGGGGCAGGGUGAGUCGACCCCUAAGGUGAGGCCGAAAGGCGUAAUCGAUGGGAAACGGGUUAAUAUUCCCGUACUUCUGACUAUUGCGAUGGGGGGACGGAGAAGGCUAGGUGGGCCAGGCGACGGUUGUCCUGGUUCAAGUGCGUAGGCUUGAGAGUUAGGUAAAUCCGGCUCUCUCUAAGGCUGAGACACGACGUCGAGCUGCUACGGCAGUGAAGUCAUUGAUGCCAUGCUUCCAGGAAAAGCCUCUAAGCUUCAGAUAGUCAGGAAUCGUACCCCAAACCGACACAGGUGGUCGGGUAGAGAAUACCAAGGCGCUUGAGAGAACUCGGGUGAAGGAACUAGGCAAAAUGGUACCGUAACUUCGGGAGAAGGUACGCUCUUGAUGGUGAAGUCCCUCGCGGAUGGAGCUGACGAGAGUCGCAGAUACCAGGUGGCUGCAACUGUUUAUUAAAAACACAGCACUGUGCAAAAUCGCAAGAUGACGUAUACGGUGUGACGCCUGCCCGGUGCCGGAAGGUUAAUUGAUGGGGUUAGCGCAAGCGAAGCUCUUGAUCGAAGCCCCGGUAAACGGCGGCCGUAACUAUAACGGUCCUAAGGUAGCGAAAUUCCUUGUCGGGUAAGUUCCGACCUGCACGAAUGGCGUAAUGAUGGCCACGCUGUCUCCACCCGAGACUCAGUGAAAUUGAAAUCGCUGUGAAGAUGCAGUGUACCCGCGGCUAGACGGAAAGACCCCGUGAACCUUUACUACAGCUUGGCACUGAACAUUGAACCUACAUGUGUAGGAUAGGUGGGAGGCUAUGAAGACGUGACGCCAGUUGCGUUGGAGCCGUCCUUGAAAUACCACCCUUGUAUGUUUGAUGUUCUAACUUAGACCCAUUAUCUGGGUUGAGGACAGUGCCUGGUGGGUAGUUUGACUGGGGCGGUCUCCUCCCAAAGAGUAACGGAGGAGCACGAAGGUGGGCUAAUCACGGUUGGACAUCGUGAGGUUAGUGCAAUGGCAUAAGCCCGCUUAACUGCGAGAAUGACGGUUCGAGCAGGUGCGAAAGCAGGUCAUAGUGAUCCGGUGGUUCUGUAUGGAAGGGCCAUCGCUCAACGGAUAAAAGGUACUCCGGGGAUAACAGGCUGAUACCGCCCAAGAGUUCAUAUCGACGGCGGUGUUUGGCACCUCGAUGUCGGCUCAUCACAUCCUGGGGCUGAAGUCGGUCCCAAGGGUAUGGCUGUUCGCCAUUUAAAGUGGUACGCGAGCUGGGUUUAGAACGUCGUGAGACAGUUCGGUCCCUAUCUGCCGUGGGCGUUGGAAGAUUGAAGGGGGCUGCUCCUAGUACGAGAGGACCGGAGUGGACGAACCUCUGGUGUUCGGGUUGUGUCGCCAGACGCAUUGCCCGGUAGCUAAGUUCGGAAUUGAUAAGCGCUGAAAGCAUCUAAGCGCGAAGCGAGCCCUGAGAUGAGUCUUCCC
Molecule: ribosomal RNA, 2103 nt
Filed under: Vibrio cholerae
Lineage: Bacteria; Pseudomonadati; Pseudomonadota; Gammaproteobacteria; Vibrionales; Vibrionaceae
Description: partial 23S ribosomal RNA
Rfam family: Bacterial large subunit ribosomal RNA
Source: RNAcentral